UAUCUGUCUCCGGGUGGGGGAUAACCGUGGGAAACUACGGCUAAUACCGCAUGAUGCCUGAGGGCCAAAGGCGCAAGCCGCCUGGAGAGGAGCCCGCGUACGAUUAGCUUGUUGGCGGGGUAAUGGCCCACCAAGGCGACGAUCGUUAGCUGGUCUGAGAGGAUGAUCAGCCACACUGGGACUGAGACACGGCCCAGACUCCUACGGGAGGCAGCAGUGGGGAAUAUUGGACAAUGGGCGCAAGCCUGAUCCAGCAAUGCCGCGUGAGU
This 269-nucleotide ribosomal RNA is filed under the name uncultured bacterium. RNAcentral describes it as "partial 16S ribosomal RNA". It matches the Rfam family "Bacterial small subunit ribosomal RNA", at positions 123 to 406 of the family's 1533-position model. The record is from RNAcentral.